Molecule: long non-coding RNA, 954 nt
Filed under: Homo sapiens (human)
Lineage: Eukaryota; Metazoa; Chordata; Mammalia; Primates; Hominidae
Description: HSALNT0222556
Source: RNAcentral
CUCAUUUGACAGAACUGAAUAUCCAUUCUGCUGAAAACCCUUAGUAAAAUAAAAAUAAAAGAACAUUUCCUUGGCAUAAUAAUAAUAAAAAAAACCUAUCUGCAACCAACCGUCAACAUCAUUCUUAGCAAUAAAACACCUAGCCAGGGUCAUUCAUAUUUUAGUCAGGGUAGAAUGAGAAAGCCUGCUAUUAACACAAUUAUUUUACAUUGUUUUGGAAGUUUUAGCCAAGGCAAGAGUACAUUAAUACACAAAAGGAAACACAACAUUUGGAAAGGAGGAGAAAUUGUCAUCAUUAUUUGUACAUGAUAUUAUUGUUUAUCCAGAAAACUCAAGAGAAUCAACUAGAAAAGUAAUAAGAGACUAUGAGCGAGGUCAGUAAGAUGACCAGUUUUGAAAUAAAUACACUGGCAAAGUCCAAUUAGAAACCUUAAGAAGAAGAAAACUGAGGAGUGAGGCAGUAGCUCAAGGGUACUCAAGGUUGCAGAACAAGCCCAACCACCUCAAAGGUCUCCUGUUAGGGCCCAGCCUAGCAGGGAGGGGGAGAGAAAGAUGGGGUGCACCAGCUGGAGCUGCAGAGGGCAGGGAAGUGGGGAGGAAAGGGGUAUCCUGAAACAUCUUUCUGGGCUGGUAACAGUUGGGCUUGGACUGGGAGCUGCCCUGUUGGGGGAAUAUCCAACCCUGUGGGCCUGGUUACCAGCAGCCCUGGCAGACAGCAGCUCAGGCCAAUGGGAUGCAGGCAGUUCUGAGAGCCGGUACCUGACUGCUGGGGGCUCCAGGAUGCAGCAAGUCCAGGGUAGAGGACUGCAGACCCUGAUGGAGAACUGUCAUCCACUGCGGGGCACAGAGUCCAGCAACGAGAUUCCAGCUAAGUGUCGCUGAACAUCUGAUGGGCUGAUUACAAAUUGGUCCCCUGGAUUCAUUAAAAUGCACAGGCACUAGAUGCAGUGCCCC